AUUGAACGCUGGCGGCAUGCUUUACACAUGCAAGUCGAACGGCAGCGCGGGCUUCGGCCUGGCGGCGAGUGGCGAACGGGUGAGUAAUGCAUCGGAACGUGCCCAGUAGUGGGGGAUAGCCCGGCGAAAGCCGGAUUAAUACCGCAUACGACCUGAGGGUGAAAGCGGGGGACCGAAAGGCCUCGCGCUAUUGGAGCGGCCGAUGUCGGAUUAGCUAGUUGGUGGGGUAAGGGCUUACCAAGGCGACGAUCCGUAGCUGGUCUGAGAGGACGACCAGCCACACUGGGACUGAGACACGGCCCAGACUCCUACGGGAGGCAGCAGUGGGGAAUUUUGGACAAUGGGGGCAACCCUGAUCCAGCCAUGCCGCGUGCGGGAAGAAGGCCUUCGGGUUGUAAACCGCUUUUGUUCGGGAAGAAAUCCUCUGGGCUAAUACCCCGGGGGGAUGACGGUACCGGAAGAAUAAGCACCGGCUAACUACGUG
RNAcentral lists this ribosomal RNA (484 nucleotides) under uncultured bacterium. Its description in RNAcentral is "partial 16S ribosomal RNA". It matches the Rfam family "Bacterial small subunit ribosomal RNA", at positions 28 to 507 of the family's 1533-position model. The record is from RNAcentral.